Long non-coding RNA from Anguilla rostrata (American eel), 1319 nucleotides. RefSeq lists it as uncharacterized. The transcript is spliced from 3 exons. NCBI's taxonomy places the organism in Eukaryota, Metazoa, Chordata, Actinopteri, Anguilliformes, Anguillidae. The record is from RefSeq and is a predicted model, not a curated record.
UUCCCCAAUGAAACAGUGACUCUGAGGUGUGUAAUUCAAGGCAGCUCUGCAGAGUGGAUGUAUAAAUGGUACAGAGAUGGACGGGAGCUUCCUGUAGACAAGGCUGACUCGAGCAGUGUAAAUGGAGACACAUACACAAUCCUCUCUGCUGAUCAGUCACAUGCUGGACUGUACACCUGCAGAGGAGAACUUACAAGGAGAGCAUCUGUACACUCUCUGAUUGGCAGCUCUGCUACAUUGACUGUACGAGCUCUGCCUCAGGCGGUAGUGACCCUGGAUGAAGGAUGGAUGGGGGUCUUCAUCACUAAAGGCACUCUAGCAAUGAGGUGUGAGCUUCUGGGCUUUACUUCUGCUGACUGGAACUACACGUGGUACAGAGACGGAACCCAGAGCUCACUAAACCACACUGGAGAGAGGCACACAGUGGGAUUCUGGGAUAGCUCCUCUGAUGGUGAAUAUAGAUGUAGAGGGAACAGGACAGACAGACCGUACUACUCCCUCAUCAGUGAAGGCUUCAUGCCAAGCCAUAUCAUUUACCGUGCUGUGGAGAAUGUGGUUCGGAUCUGUGUGGGCGUGGCAGUCCUCCUCUUUCUGUCAAUCAUUGUGAAUCCAGCCUUCUGGAGAUGGGUAUCACGCCGGAAAGUGGUACACAGUGGGGAGGAACUGGCUGAACAAACUGACCAUACCUGACCACACAGCGUGGCAUGAGUUUAUUUUCAUUAUUGCUUUGCUAAAUAUUACAUGACAUAUUGUAUCAUUUAUUAAAGUAGACUUGCUAAAAUAUAUAUAAAAAUGUGCAUCUUACGGGCUUGAAGGCUUAAUGUAAUAUCUGGCGAAACAUGGCUUUGAAAUACAGGAGUUUUUUCAUGAAUUACCAUUAUGGAUAGUUUGCACUCUUACACAGUCCUGUUCAUUGCAUUAGUUCUAAUCAGUGUACAAUAUAAAUGUCAGCAAUAGAAGGGCAACUCAUUUUAGAGAAGUAAUAGUAAUAUAUCUGGCAUUUUCCACCUGCAUACUGUUCUUUGUGUAGGGUAGGGUAGUACAUGGGUAGGUAACUGGCCUUGUAACCUAAAGGUUACAGGUUUGAUUCCCAGAUGGGGCACUGCCAUUGUGUCCCUGAGCAAGGUACUUAACCUGCAUUGCUCCAGUACAUAUUCAACUGUAUAAAUGGAUGCAAUGUAAAUUGUGUAAAAGAAGCUCUAGAUCAGAGUGUCUGCUAAUUGGCUGUAAUGUAAAUUUGGGAACUUGCCUUACCUUUGCAAAAACGUUUUUUUCAUAUUGUAUAAACACACGUUGGACUUUCAAACCCAGCUCAACAA